This is an unclassified non-coding RNA of Macaca mulatta (Rhesus monkey), 148 nucleotides long. It matches the Rfam family "Metazoan signal recognition particle RNA". Rfam says of the family: The signal recognition particle (SRP) is a universally conserved ribonucleoprotein. It is involved in the co-translational targeting of proteins to membranes. Lineage: Eukaryota; Metazoa; Chordata; Mammalia; Primates; Cercopithecidae. The record is from Ensembl.
GCUGGGCAUGGUGGCGCAUGCCUGUAAUCCCAGCUACUUGGGAGGCUGAGCUGGGAGAAUCGCUUCAACCUAGGAGGCAGAGGUUGCAGUGAGCCAAGAUCAUGCCACUGCACUCCGGCCUGGGUGAUAGAGUGAGACUCCAUCUCAA